Molecule: ribosomal RNA, 440 nt
Filed under: uncultured bacterium
Lineage: Bacteria
Description: partial 16S ribosomal RNA
Rfam family: Bacterial small subunit ribosomal RNA
Source: RNAcentral
CCUACGGGGGGCAGCAGUGGGGAAUAUUGCACAAUGGGGGAAACCCUGAUGCAGCGACGCAGCGUGAGUGAAGAAGUAAUUCGGUAUGUAAAGCUCUAUCAGCAGGGAAGAAAAUGACGGUACCUGAGUAAGAAGCCCCGGCUAACUACGUGCCAGCAGCCGCGGUAAUACGUAGGGGGCAAGCGUUAUCCGGAUUUACUGGGUGUAAAGGGAGCGUAGACGGCAGUGCAAGUCUGGAGUGAAAGGCGGGGGCUCAACCCCCGGACUGCUGUGGAAACUGUACGGCUGGAGUGCAGGAGAGGUAAGUGGAAUUCGUAGUGUAGCGGUGAAAUGCGUAGAUAUUAGGAGGAACACCAGUGGCGAAGGCGGCUUACUGGACUGUAACUGACGUUGAGGCUCGAAAGCGUGGGGAGCAAACAGGAUUAGAUACCCUUGUAGUC